Molecule: long non-coding RNA, 1144 nt
Filed under: Anser brachyrhynchus (Pink-footed goose)
Lineage: Eukaryota; Metazoa; Chordata; Aves; Anseriformes; Anatidae
Description: lncRNA (ENSABRG00000007463.1)
Source: RNAcentral
GGAGUUUAGUGUGAAAUGUGUUGUGUGUGGGUUGUGUUGGUAAAGCCAGCUUCUCCGGCAAAUGGCAGAGAGCCCCCUUUCAGCAAAUGCUGAAGAGCCCUGAGGAGAGAUGCGCAGCCUUCUGCCUCCAUCCUCCUUCUAGCAGCUAAAAGCAGCACUGGGGACCAACUGCAGCAAUCUCUUAGAAAAUGUCAGAACUCCGGAGGGCAUCAAGCAUGGGCUGAUGUCUCUGAAAUGCCAGGGAAGCCCACCAGUGGAAUAAGGAGGUGUCCAUCAGUCUGUAACCCUGUGUGUUACCAGCCUGUAACCCUGGGGUCUCCAGGGUGGUAAGACAAGGGAGGUCUCAGGCACUUCUUGCACUGUGUGUCCAGAGAAGAGGCCGCAAGGACGCUGAAAGACCAGCCCAGCUCAGCUAAAUGGCAUGGUGCUGCUAAACCAGUGGUGGCAAGGCACAGCCCAAGGCACCUGGGUGUAUAUAACCAGUACUGCUCAUGUGAGCGAAGAAUACCACGCAGCAUCUCAUCGUCCGGGCAUCCUGUUCCCGUGGGAAGGGAAGAGACACGAGAAAAUGGAAAAAUUCCUGCAAAACAAGGAUACCAGCCACCUGGACUGAGCAACUCUGCUUGAUCCUUGAAGGAGAAAAGGACCAGGACUGAUGGAAAAAUUAACUGCGUAUGUCCCAACUGAAACGGGCUGUGAGAACCUGGAAAGAUGGAGGGGCCCGAGAUGCAUGGGAGUCCUGUUCUGAUGUAACGCCCAGGGCCAGAUCCUGCCCGGUGCUGAGUCCUCUGUUCCUGGCAGGAGAGAUGAGCCACUUCCUAGGCCGAAGCCUAAAAGUCUGAAAAGAAGCAAUAGAAUAUUUAUGGCUGUGUCCUGACAGCUUUUUCUAUUCUCCGGGCUGUUUCCUGUGAUUUUACGCUCCACUAGGUGGUCAAAGAGGCUCCUCUGGAGAGCUAUUAAAGCGUAUUUAAUCCAUAGAGGUGUUUUGCUGAUUGCGGAGGAAAAUCACCCUGCCGUGAAUGGGAAGCAAAUUGUGUCCUUGAGGGGGCUGGAGAGAGCACGAAGAGAUCUCCUGCCCCUUUGGGCUUGCAUUAACCUUGCUUUAAUCAGAGCUUCUCAAGGUGCCAGGGUCCUCAGGUGUUCA